RNAcentral lists this ribosomal RNA (506 nucleotides) under uncultured bacterium. Its description in RNAcentral is "partial 16S ribosomal RNA". It matches the Rfam family "Bacterial small subunit ribosomal RNA", at positions 29 to 523 of the family's 1533-position model. The record is from RNAcentral.
AGUGAACGCUGGCGGUAGGCCUAACACAUGCAAGUCGAACGGCAGCACAGGAGAGCUUGCUCUCUGGGUGGCGAGUGGCGGACGGGUGAGGAAUACAUCGGAAUCUACUCUGUCGUGGGGGAUAACGUAGGGAAACUUACGCUAAUCCCGCAUACGACCUACGGGUGAAAGCCGGGGACCCUCGGGCCUUGCGCGAUUGAAUGAGCCGAUGUCGGGUUAGCUAGUUGGCGGGGUAAAGGCCCACCAAGGCGACGAUCCGUAGCUGGUCUGAGAGGAUGAUCAGCCACACUGGAACUGAGACACGGUCCAGACUCCUACGGGAGGCAGCAGUGGGGAAUAUUGGACAAUGGGCGCAAGCCUGAUCCAGCCAUACCGCGUGGGUGAAGAAGGCCUUCGGGUUGUAAAGCCCUUUUGUUGGGAAAGAAAUCCAGCUGGCUAAUACCCGGUUGGGAUGACGGUACCCAAAGAAUAAGCACCGGCUAACUUCGUGCCAGCCGCCGCCGUAA